RNAcentral lists this ribosomal RNA (460 nucleotides) under uncultured bacterium. RNAcentral's name for it is "partial 16S ribosomal RNA". It matches the Rfam family "Bacterial small subunit ribosomal RNA", at positions 338 to 795 of the family's 1533-position model. The record is from RNAcentral.
CCUACGGGAGGCAGCAGUGAGGAAUAUUGGUCAAUGGACGAGAGUCUGAACCAGCCAAGUAGCGUGAAGGAUGACUGCCCUAUGGGUUGUAAACUUCUUUUAUAUGGGAAUAAAACGUUCCACGUGUGGGAUUUUGUAUGUACCAUAUGAAUAAGGAUCGGCUAACUCCGUGCCAGCAGCCGCGGUAAUACGGAGGAUCCGAGCGUUAUCCGGAUUUAUUGGGUUUAAAGGGAGCGUAGGUGGAUGGUUAAGUCAGUUGUGAAAGUGUGCGGCUCAACCGUAAAAUUGCAGUUGAAACUGGCAGUCUUGAGUACAGUAGAGGUGGGCGGAAUUCGUGGUGUAGCGGUGAAAUGCUUAGAUAUCACGAAGAACUCCGAUUGCGAAGGCAGUUCACUGGACUGCAACUGACACUGAGGCUCGAAAGUGUGGGUAUCAAACAGGAUUAGAUACCCCAGUAGUC